This 247-nucleotide non-coding RNA is filed under the name Clostridium sp. RNAcentral describes it as "T-box sequence". It matches the Rfam family "T-box leader". Rfam says of the family: Uncharged tRNA acts as the effector for transcription antitermination of genes in the T-box leader family. T-boxes are found upstream of many aminoacyl-tRNA synthetase genes and some amino acid biosynthetic genes usually in Gram-positive bacteria. The anticodon of a specific tRNA base pairs to a specifier sequence within the T-box motif, and the NCCA acceptor tail of the tRNA base pairs to a conserved bulge in the T-box antiterminator hairpin. Lineage: Bacteria; Bacillati; Bacillota; Clostridia; Eubacteriales; Clostridiaceae. The record is from RNAcentral.
UCAAAGGCUAUGAACAUGUAUAGUAGUUUGAUCCGAUUCAUGAAGAGAGAGAAUGUCAUCGGCUGAAAGCAUUCUUGUGUUCCCGGAUAAAAUGAAAUUCCCAUGCAAGCCGCAUCUUUGAAGGAAAUCUGUGUAGGAGAUGCCGUAGACAGAACGUUAUCUGUAAAGAAGAGUUUAUGAUGAUUCACGAUCAUACGAUCGUACACAUAAGAAGCAGGGUGGUACCGCGGAGAGAUUCGUCCCUGCC